This is a non-coding RNA of Procambarus clarkii (red swamp crayfish), 1007 nucleotides long. NCBI's taxonomy places the organism in Eukaryota, Metazoa, Arthropoda, Malacostraca, Decapoda, Cambaridae. The record is from RefSeq and is a predicted model, not a curated record.
UUACCACCAAAGGACCUACAAAGGUUACCACCAAAGGACCUACAAAGGUUACCACCAAAGGACCUACAAAGGUUACCACCAAAGAACCUAAAAAGAUUCAAGCAGGUCACACCGAAGAUGCAGGCGAUCACGGCUGGACAAAAGUAGAAACAAAGCGACAUAAGAACGACGACGAUGUAGAUAAGACACCCAAAACGGGUUCGAAUCCCGCAAAUGAAGGCCGUUAGCAUCCCGAAAGCUCCCGUAACACUCCGGGAAAGGAACGCAAAACCGGCAUCCAGGAAUGUGGCGACUCACGUUCCUGUCAGACUACGGAAGACACUCGCAAAAUUACAAAGACUCACCAUAUCCCCACCGAUCUCCGGGGCGUAAUAAUAGGGCCUAAAGGCUAAACUCUGAAAGAAAUCGAAAACACAUUUUCGGUCAAAAUAAUAAUACCGCCAAAAUAACAUUCUCACAGGGACAUUGUGGUUGAAGGGUAGAGAUCAAACGUAGACAAAGCUAUUGUCAAAAUUCACUCAGUAAUCGAGGAACAUAAACAACGGUUGAUAAAACUGGAGGAGGUAAAAGCCAAGAAGGAAGCAGCAGCAAAAGCCAGAAUGGAAGAGGAGGCAAAGAAUAUUACAAGGACCGUAGAGGUGGAAGAACAUAAUAGAAAAAUAGUGCUUGGCCCCAAUGGUAAUACCAUCCACAACAUUACUGAGAAACACAAAGUGAGAAUCCACAUCCCAGCAAAAGGUACAGAAGGCCCCAUCACAGUCAGGGGUCUAGAAGGAAACGUAACUACAGCAACGGCACUCAUCGAAAAACUUAUCGCCGAUCACGAGAAAGCAAGGAAGGCUAAAAUGAAUAAAAUUAACAAAGGAAUAAAAACUGCCCCACGGUGAAGGGUUGGCUAAUUAGAGCCACCAUUAGAGCCAGCGAAGGAAAGAUUACGUGCCCACUAGUACAUCUGAAGGGAGGGGGGGGGCUACGUGCCCACAAACACAUAAAACAACAAAAUAACA